AGGCUGGCACACCUUGUCGUACCCAAACCGAUAAUUUUUUUCCCCUCUGGCUGGGCCGGUGGCAUCUGAAAGCAGAGUGGCCGGAGGGGGGACACGGUAGUGAACUGGGGUUCGGGGGCAGGAAGGGUGGGAUCUGGAUGGCAGUGAUGCCACUAGGGGUGGACCUGGACGUUCUGGAAGAAAAGAGCGAGGACCAGAGUGGGACGGUUGUGAGCGGCGGUUCGAAGUUUAUGUGAACGAACAAUAAUCACCAGAAUAACUCCGUCCUUGGGAAUUAUUCUCAGUGGUGUUCUGUGCAUUCUCUGAGGGCCAAGCAAAGGAGUGGACAGCUGUGUGGCCUGGGAGAUGAGAGGGGCAUGGCACGAAUUCUACUGGAAUGCAGUCUUAGUGACAAGCUGUGUGUUGUCCGGGAGCAGCAAUAUGAGAUCAUCAUCAUCCCAACCAUUCUAGUUGGCACCUUCCUUAUCCUUCUUGUGGUCAUCCUGAGGCUUUUUAUCAGAGGACAAAGAGCUCAACAACAGUCUCCUGGACUCCGAGGUAAAAUUCAAACUGGGGCUGGGAGGAGGGCCAGGGAAGAUGGAGCUUACAGAAAGUAAGACCCAAGUCUCAGUGAGCCCAGGUCUAGAAGGUGAGAUCCCUGCUAUGGGAGAGGCGGUAUGGGGCCCCUCUUGUGGAAUUGAGGGGUGGUGAGCUCUUCUCUAGGAAGUCAUGAGUAGAAACUCAGUAUAUGCUUGUUAGUUGAAACAACAGUAGGUAAGGCAGGCUUCAUGUGACCUGUUUUAUCUUCUUUGUCCUAUUGCACUAUCAAAUAUUUGGCCACGUGAGUGUCUACAUAUUGGGGAGGAAAAUUAGUAGGUAAAGCCAAAGGCUUUGUUACCAGUCUUAAAGGAUGACAUUUUACUCUGUAAUACAUCCCAGCCCUGCUCAUGCUCCUGGACUAUAUGAUGAAAAGGAGUGGCCUUCAUAGUAGUCUUUGAAGCAAUAAGUAGGAGAUAAUGUCCUGUUCUGAAGUAACACUUAGCAUAUAAUGAAAGUGAAUUAGCUUACAUGAAACUAAGAGUAAAGAGAAGAAAAAAAGUCAUGACAGUGAUCAGAAACUGUUUAGUGGCUGAUCCCCAUUCUCUAUCUGAAUGGUAAAUUGGGUGAUGGGCAUUAAGGAGGGCACUUGAUGUAAUGAGCACUGGGCAUGAUAAGCAACUGAUGAAUCACCAAAUUCUACCCCUGAAACUAAUAAUGCACUAUAUGUGAACUAAACUGAAUUUAAAUAAAAAGUUAAAAAAAAAAGUUAUCCCAAUUCUCUUCUUCACUUACAGAAAAACUUCUCAGGGAAGUUGUCUAAACUCACUCUCGUGACUUCUACUUGUCACAUUCUCUUUCAAACAUACUAAAAUAAGGCUUUUCUCCCCACUACUCCACCAAAACAAUUCUCUCCGAGAUUGCCAGUGACAGCUAUAUUGAGUCCUCUUAACCUGUCAAAAGCAUUUGGAACAAUUUUGCACCUUCUCCUUCUUGAAACACUUUAUUUUCCUUUUAAAUCUAUAGUCACUCCCUUAAUGGUCUUAUUUUCAGUCUUACGGAUUCAAACACUUUCUCUAUUCUAAUUGUAGUCCCCCGUUGAACUCCAGAUUCUUAUUUAAACCACUUACUUCGCAGUUUGGAUCCAAUACACAUCUCAUAUGUAAUAUGCCUACAGCAAAGGUCCUGAAAUUCCCUCACAAAUGUCUUCUGAUUUUCUAUGAAGUGUUCAGUCUAAAAUUUUGCAGAUGUCCUUGACUCCUCAUUCUCUCAUACUUUGUAUCCAAUCCGUUAGCAAAUCCUGUUAAACUGAUCUUCAGAAGAAAUUUAAGCCUCUUUCAUCUUUCAUAGAUCGUUGUAGUACACCCCUAACUGGUUUCCCUACUUCUUUCCCUGUCCCUUUAUGGUUCUCCACAGGACAGCAGAAUGAUUCUUUUAAGGCCUAAGUCAGUCCUGACAAUUCUCUGCUUGGAAUAAAAUAAAAAAUAAAAUAAAAUAAGAUGAGAUGAGAUGAGAUGAAACGAGAUGAAGUGAGAUGAAAUAAAAUUAAAUAAAUAAAAUAAAUAAAUAAAUAAAAUAAAAUAAAAAUUUUAUUAGAAUAAAGACAAAAUUCUUUCAAUGGCCUUCCAUGACAUGGGCCCUCUCUGGCCUCAAUGUUGUAUAAUUCUCCAAUUAUCCCACAUGGUUCCAUCUGUACUAACUUCAUUUUUCUUCCUCAAAUAUGACAAGAAUGCUUCUUCCUCAAUACCUCUGCUCAUCCUGUUCCCUCUGUCUGUAAUAUCCUUCCUGAUACCAGUAUGGUUUGCUCUCUAAUUGCUUCCUGGCAUUUCUCAAAUGUCAUCCUAUCAGAAAGGCCUGUCCUGGCCUUGAAAUAUAAAAUAGCAUUGUGGAUAGCCUCUGAUUCUGCUCUUUUCCUUUAUAACACUCAUCACCUGGUAUGUUGUUAUCUGUUUCCUCUCUCCUACCACUAGAAAGUAAUCAUAAGAAUCUGGGCUUUGCCUAUUCCCAACACCUAGAACAGUU
This is a long non-coding RNA of Ailuropoda melanoleuca (giant panda), 2538 nucleotides long. RefSeq lists it as uncharacterized. The transcript has 3 exons. Lineage: Eukaryota; Metazoa; Chordata; Mammalia; Carnivora; Ursidae. The record is from RefSeq and is a predicted model, not a curated record.